UUUGUGGAGAGUUUGAUCCUGGCUCAGGAUGAACGCUGGCGGCGUGCUUAACACAUGCAAGUCGAACGGAAAGGCCCAAGCUUGCUUGGGUACUCGAGUGGCGAACGGGUGAG
Molecule: ribosomal RNA, 113 nt
Filed under: Corynebacterium lujinxingii
Lineage: Bacteria; Bacillati; Actinomycetota; Actinomycetes; Mycobacteriales; Corynebacteriaceae
Description: partial 16S ribosomal RNA
Rfam family: Bacterial small subunit ribosomal RNA
Source: RNAcentral